GGAUUGACACAUCGGUCGUGCCUUAAGGGGUAUGAACUGGUGUAGUCAAUUUCUCACCUUCUGGAGAACCACGAUGCCCUUAAUUGGGUGUCGCGGGGAACCAGGACUUUUACCUUGAAAAAAUUAGAGUGUUUAAAGCAGGCAUUUUUGCUCGAAUACAUUAGCAUGGAAUAAUAGAAUAGGACGGCAUGGUUCUAUUUUGUUGGUUUCUAGGAUCACCGUA
This 223-nucleotide ribosomal RNA is filed under the name Campeiostachys nutans. Its description in RNAcentral is "Elymus nutans partial small subunit ribosomal RNA". It matches the Rfam family "Eukaryotic small subunit ribosomal RNA", at positions 665 to 864 of the family's 1831-position model. The record is from RNAcentral. Lineage: Eukaryota; Viridiplantae; Streptophyta; Magnoliopsida; Poales; Poaceae.